This 491-nucleotide ribosomal RNA is filed under the name uncultured bacterium. RNAcentral's name for it is "partial 16S ribosomal RNA". It matches the Rfam family "Bacterial small subunit ribosomal RNA", at positions 28 to 507 of the family's 1533-position model. The record is from RNAcentral.
GAUGAACGCUGGCUACAGGCUUAACACAUGCAAGUCGAGGGGAAACGACGGGGAAGCUUGCUUCCCCGGGCGUCGACCGGCGCACGGGUGAGUAACGCGUAUCCAACCUGCCUCUGACUGAGGGAUAACCCGUCGAAAGUCGGCCUAAUACCUCAUGGCAUCGUCUGCGGGCAUCCAACGACGAUUAAAGAUUUCAUCGGUCAGGGAUGGGGAUGCGUCUGAUUAGCUUGUUGGCGGGGUAACGGCCCACCAAGGCUACGAUCAGUAGGGGUUCUGAGAGGAAGGUCCCCCACAUUGGAACUGAGACACGGUCCAAACUCCUACGGGAGGCAGCAGUAAGGAAUAUUGGUCAAUGGGCGGGAGCCUGAACCAGCCAAGUAGCGUGCAGGAUGACGGCCCUAUGGGUUGUAAACUGCUUUUAUGCGGGGAUAAAGUGAGGGACGUGUCCUUCAUUGCAGGUACCGCAUGAAUAAGGACCGGCUAAUUCCGUG